AGAGCGAACGCUGGCGGCAGGCCUAACACAUGCAAGUCGAGCGCCCGUAGCAAUACGGGAGCGGCAGACGGGAUAGUAACACGUGGGAACGCGCCCUUCGGUUCGGAAUAACUCAGGGAAACUUGAGCUAAUACCGGAUACGCCCUUACGGGGAAAGAUUUAUUGCCGAAGGAACGGCCCGCGUCCGAUUAGCUAGUUGGUGAGGUAAUGGCUCACCAAGGCGACGAUCGGUAGCUGGUCUGAGAGGAUGACCAGCAUCACUGGGACUGAGUCACGGCCCAGACUCCUACGGGAGGCAGCAGUGGGGAAUAUUGGACAAUGGGCGCAAGCCUGAUCCAGCCAUGCCGCGUGGAUGAUGAAGGCCUUAGGGUUGUAAAGUCCGUUUUAACGGGGAAGAUAAUGACGGUACCCGUAGAAUAAGCCCCGGCUAACUUCGUGCCAGCAGCCGC
This 449-nucleotide ribosomal RNA is filed under the name uncultured bacterium. RNAcentral's name for it is "SSU rRNA". It matches the Rfam family "Bacterial small subunit ribosomal RNA", at positions 26 to 518 of the family's 1533-position model. The record is from RNAcentral.